AACCAUCCCUCCAGCCCUAAAGAAUGUAUUUAAGGGCUGCAGAGAUGGCUUAG
This 53-nucleotide microRNA precursor is filed under the name Jaculus jaculus (lesser Egyptian jerboa). RNAcentral describes it as "miRNA (ENSJJAG00000001139.1)". Lineage: Eukaryota; Metazoa; Chordata; Mammalia; Rodentia; Dipodidae. The record is from RNAcentral.